CCUACGGUGCGCAGCAGUGAGGAAUAUUGGUCAAUGGGCGCGAGCCUGAACCCGCCAAGUAGCGUGAGGGAAGACGGUCCUAUGGAUUGUACCCCUCUUUUGUCGGGGAGCAAAAGACGCCACGCGUGGCGUUCCGAGAGUACCCGAAGCAAAAGCAUCGGCUAACUCCGUGCCAGCAGCCGCGGUAAUACGGAGGAUGCGAGCGUUAUCCGGAUUUAUUGGGUUUAAAGGGUGCGUAGGCGGGCUGUUAAGUCAGCGGUCAAAUGUCGGGGCUCAACCCCGGCCUGCCGUUGAAACUGGCGGCCUCGAGUGGGCGAGAAGUAUGCGGAAUGCGUGGUGUAGCGGUGAAAUGCAUAGAGAUCAUACAGAACACCGAUUGCGAAGGCAGCUUACCAAACUACGACUGACGUUGAGGCACGAAAGCGUGGGGAGCAAACAGGAUUAGAUACCCUUGUAGUC
Molecule: ribosomal RNA, 459 nt
Filed under: uncultured bacterium
Lineage: Bacteria
Description: partial 16S ribosomal RNA
Rfam family: Bacterial small subunit ribosomal RNA
Source: RNAcentral